Molecule: ribosomal RNA, 212 nt
Filed under: uncultured bacterium
Lineage: Bacteria
Description: partial 16S ribosomal RNA
Rfam family: Bacterial small subunit ribosomal RNA
Source: RNAcentral
CAGUUCAGAUUGUAGGCUGAAACUCGCCUAUAUGAAGUCGGAAUUGCUAGUAAUCGCGGAUCAGCAUGCCGCGGUGAAUACGUUCCCGGGCCUUGUACACACCGCCCGUCACACCAUGAGAGUCGAUAACACCCGAAGCCUGUAGUCUAACAGCAAUGAGGACGCAGUCGAAGGUGGGAUUGAUAAUUAGGGUGAAGUCGUAACAAGGUAUC